AAACUAACAAGGAUUCCCCUAGUAACGGCGAGCGAAGCGGGAAGAGCUCAAAUUUGAAAGCUGGCGUCUUCGGCGUCCGCGUUGUAAUCUCGAGACGUGUUUUCCGUGCGGCUCUAUGGACAAGUCCCUUGGAACAGGGCAUCGUAGAGGGUGAAAAUCCCGUACUUGCCAUGGAAGUACCGUGCUUUGUGAUACACGCUCCAAGAGUCGAGUAGUUUGGGAUUGCUGCUCAAAGUGGGUGGUAGACUCCAUCUAAAGCUAAAUAUCGGGGAGAGACCGAUAGCGAACAAGUACCGUGAGGGAAAGAUGAAAAGCACUUUGGAAAGAGAGUUAAAAGUACGUGAAAUUGUCGAAAGGGAAGCACUUGAAGUCAGCCAUGCUGCUUGAGACUCAGCCUGGCUUUUGCUUGGUGUAUUUCUCGGUAGCAAGCCAGCAUUGGUUUGUGUCGUCGGAGAAGCGUAUGGGGAAUGUGGCAUCCUCGGAUGUGUUAUAGCCCUGUGCAGGAUACGACGACGUAGACCAAGGAACGCAGUGUGCCCUCUGGGCGGGUCUUCGGACACCUUCACACUUAGGAUGCUGGCGUAAUGGCUUUAAGUGGC
This 599-nucleotide ribosomal RNA is filed under the name uncultured Malassezia. RNAcentral's name for it is "eukaryotic LSU rRNA". It matches the Rfam family "Eukaryotic large subunit ribosomal RNA", at positions 62 to 648 of the family's 3401-position model. Lineage: Eukaryota; Fungi; Basidiomycota; Malasseziomycetes; Malasseziales; Malasseziaceae. The record is from RNAcentral.